UCCGCCGGCGACCGGCGCACGGGUGCGCAACGCGUAUAGAAUCUGCCCUGUACUGGGGAAUAGCCCAGAGAAAUUUGGAUUAAUGCCCCAUGGUAUGUAUUAGCGGCAUCGCUUAUACAUUAAAGGCUACGGUACAGGAUGACUAUGCGUCCCAUUAGUUAGUUGGUAAGGUAACGGCUUACCAAGGCAGCGAUGGGUAGGGGCCCUGAGAGGGGGAUCCCCCACACUGGUACUGAGACACGGACCAGACUCCUACGGGAGGCAGCAGUGAGGAAUAUUGGACAAUGGGCGGGAGCCUGAUCCAGCCAUGCCGCGUGCAGGAAGACGGUCCUAUGGAUUGUAAACUGCUUUUGUACGGGAAGAACAAGGGGCACGUGUGCCCCUCUGACGGUACCGUAAGAAUAAGGAUCGGCUAACUCCGUGCCAGCAGCCGCGGUAAUACGGAGGAUCCGAGCGUUAUCCGGAAUCAUUGGGUUUAAAGGGUCCGUAGGCGGGCCAUUAAGUCAGGGGUGAAAGUCUGCGGCUCAACCGUAGAAUUGCCCUUGAUACUGGUGGUCUUGAGUUAUGGUGAAGUAACUAGAAUAUGUAGUGUAGCGGUGAAAUGCAUAGAUAUUA
This 615-nucleotide ribosomal RNA is filed under the name marine sediment bacterium BB0608_2216_2.2_4G0. RNAcentral describes it as "bacterial SSU rRNA". It matches the Rfam family "Bacterial small subunit ribosomal RNA", at positions 84 to 699 of the family's 1533-position model. The record is from RNAcentral.